AGAGUUUGAUCCUGGCUCAGAACGAACGUUGGCGGCGUGGAUUAGGCAUGCAAGUCGAACGAAUCCCCGGUAGCAAUACUGGGGGGAAGUGGCGAAAGGGGCAGUAAGGCGUGGGUAACCUACCCCGGGGUCCGGGAUAGCCUUCCUAACGGGAGGGUAAUACCGGGCGACGUGUUCCGAGGGCUUCCUCGGGACACCAAAGGUCCGCCGCCUCGGGAGGGGCUCACGUGGUAUUAGCUUGUUGGUGGGGUAAUGGCCCACCAAGGCCGAGAUGCCUAGCAGGUGUGAGAGCACGACCUGCGCCACUGGCACUGAGACACUGGCCAGACUCCUACGGGAGGCUGCAGUCGAGGAUCUUCAGCAAUGGGCGCAAGCCUGACCGAGCGACGCCGCAUGUGCGAUGAAGGCUUUCGGGUUGUAAAGCACUGUCGAGGGGGAGGAAAGCCCGCAAGGGCCUGACCUAUCCCUGGAGGAAGCACGGGCUAAGUUCGUGCCAGCAGCCGCGGUAAGACGAACCGUGCGAACGUUGUUCGGAUUCACUGGGCUUAAAGGGCGCGUAGGCGGGCGACCAAGUCAGGGGUGAAAUCCUUCGGCUCAACCGGAGAACAGCUUCUGAUACUGGCCGUCUCGAGGGAGGUAGGGGCAGGCGGAACUUCCGGUGGAGCGGUGAAAUGCGUAAAUAUCGGAAGGAACGCCGGUGGCGAAAAGCGGCCUGCUGGACCUCUUCUGACGCUGAAG
Molecule: ribosomal RNA, 738 nt
Filed under: uncultured bacterium
Lineage: Bacteria
Description: bacterial SSU rRNA
Rfam family: Bacterial small subunit ribosomal RNA
Source: RNAcentral